This 170-nucleotide ribosomal RNA is filed under the name uncultured Bradyrhizobium sp. RNAcentral describes it as "partial 16S ribosomal RNA". It matches the Rfam family "Bacterial small subunit ribosomal RNA", at positions 337 to 524 of the family's 1533-position model. The record is from RNAcentral. Lineage: Bacteria; Pseudomonadati; Pseudomonadota; Alphaproteobacteria; Hyphomicrobiales; Nitrobacteraceae.
UCCUACGGGAGGCAGCAGUGGGGAAUAUUGGACAAUGGGGGCAACCCUGAUCCAGCCAUGCCGCGUGAGUGAUGAAGGCCCUAGGGUUGUAAAGCUCUUUUGUGCGGGAAGAUAAUGACGGUACCCCAAGAAUAAGCCCCGGCUAACUUCGUGCCAGCAGCCGCGGUAAU